This 755-nucleotide ribosomal RNA is filed under the name marine bacterium NBF32. Its description in RNAcentral is "bacterial SSU rRNA". It matches the Rfam family "Bacterial small subunit ribosomal RNA", at positions 35 to 771 of the family's 1533-position model. Lineage: Bacteria; Bacillati; Bacillota. The record is from RNAcentral.
GCCGGCGGCAGGCCUAACACAUGCAAGUCGAGCGGAAACGAGUUAUCUGAACCUUCGGGGAACGAUAACGGCGUCGAGCGGCGGACGGGUGAGUAAUGCCUAGGAAAUUGCCCUGNUGUGGGGGAUAACCAUUGGAAACGAUGGCUAAUACCGCAUAAUACCUACGGGUCAAAGAGGGGGACCUUCGGGCCUCUCGCGUCAGGAUAUGCCUAGGUGGGAUUAGCUAGUUGGUGAGGUAAUGGCUCACCAAGGCGACGAUCCCUAGCUGGUCUGAGAGGAUGAUCAGCCACACUGGAACUGAGAACACGGUCCAGACUCCUACGGGAGGCAGCAGUGGGGAAUAUUGCACAAUGGGCGCAAGCCUGAUGCAGCCAUGCCGCGUGUGUGAAGAAGGCCUUCGGGUUGUAAAGCACUUUCAGUGAGGAGGAAAACCUUAUGGUUAAUACCCAUGAGGCUUGACGUUACUCACAGAAGAAGCACCGGCUAACUCCGUGCCAGCAGCCGCGGUAAUACGGAGGGUGCAAGCGUUAAUCGGAAUUACUGGGCGUAAAGCGCGCGUAGGUGGUUUGAUAAGCGAGAUGUGAAAGCCCCGGGCUUAACCUGGGAACGGCAUUUCGAACUGUCAGGCUAGAGUAUGGUAGAGGGUAGUGGAAUUUCCUGUGUAGCGGUGAAAUGCGUAGAUAUAGGAAGGAACACCAGGGCGAAGGCGGCUACCUGGACCAAUACUACACUGAGGUCGAAAGCGUGGGACAACA